AGGGCCUGCCUCAGCUGUUUGUGGUCCGGCCGAGAGGGCUGUGACCGUCCCUAACACGAGCGCGCCGUGUAAUUUUCGUACGACUUCUCGCGGGGAAGCCAGUGUCGCAGACCCCACCCCGAGAUAGCCUGAGGUUCCAAAUCAUCACCCUUCGUAAGCUAAAGGAAGAACUCCUAGAAGGGAGUUCAAGCUCUUCAAAGGAAAAACAUUCAAGCUCUACUCGAUUUGAGUACAGUGGAAAAAGUCAAGAUCUAGUGAAGUAGUACAUUGUGUAAUGAUGAGAAGCAAACGAAAAAGGUAUGAACUAAGAAUACUCUGUGAGGCCUAAUGACCAAACAAAUCAAGUUCCUCUCAAACAAGAGCAGUGGCAAAACCAAGGAUUUGAGCAUAAAGGACACUAUAUGUUAGAACCAACCUUGAGAAUAGGAAACCCAGAACACAGAAGAGAGACCACUGAAAAUUUCAUGCUGUUUCACCUUUUCACUGUCUUUACUGUAAACACGUGUCGUAGUAGGAAUAUUGACAGUUCACGACACAGUAAACACAGCUCCAGUAUAAAUGCUUCAAAGCACGUUCUGGAUCUUGUUUCUUUUUAUGCCCGGUCUAUACCAUAACACAGGACUCGUUUGUUGGCCCAAAGAAAAUACCGUCUGACUCCUUAAUUGCCUGAGGUUCACAGCGGCUCACAUUGUGGGUUCUCAAUAAAACAUUAA
This is a long non-coding RNA of Mustela erminea (ermine), 713 nucleotides long. RefSeq lists it as uncharacterized. The record is from RefSeq and is a predicted model, not a curated record. Lineage: Eukaryota; Metazoa; Chordata; Mammalia; Carnivora; Mustelidae. The transcript is spliced from 6 exons.